Molecule: ribosomal RNA, 1185 nt
Filed under: Vibrio cholerae
Lineage: Bacteria; Pseudomonadati; Pseudomonadota; Gammaproteobacteria; Vibrionales; Vibrionaceae
Description: partial 23S ribosomal RNA
Rfam family: Bacterial large subunit ribosomal RNA
Source: RNAcentral
UGAAGUCCCUCGCGGAUGGAGCUGACGAGAGUCGCAGAUACCAGGUGGCUGCAACUGUUUAUUAAAAACACAGCACUGUGCAAAAUCGCAAGAUGACGUAUACGGUGUGACGCCUGCCCGGUGCCGGAAGGUUAAUUGAUGGGGUUAGCGCAAGCGAAGCUCUUGAUCGAAGCCCCGGUAAACGGCGGCCGUAACUAUAACGGUCCUAAGGUAGCGAAAUUCCUUGUCGGGUAAGUUCCGACCUGCACGAAUGGCGUAAUGAUGGCCACGCUGUCUCCACCCGAGACUCAGUGAAAUUGAAAUCGCUGUGAAGAUGCAGUGUACCCGCGGCUAGACGGAAAGACCCCGUGAACCUUUACUACAGCUUGGCACUGAACAUUGAACCUACAUGUGUAGGAUAGGUGGGAGGCUAUGAAGACGUGACGCCAGUUGCGUUGGAGCCGUCCUUGAAAUACCACCCUUGUAUGUUUGAUGUUCUAACUUAGACCCAUUAUCUGGGUUGAGGACAGUGCCUGGUGGGUAGUUUGACUGGGGCGGUCUCCUCCCAAAGAGUAACGGAGGAGCACGAAGGUGGGCUAAUCACGGUUGGACAUCGUGAGGUUAGUGCAAUGGCAUAAGCCCGCUUAACUGCGAGAAUGACGGUUCGAGCAGGUGCGAAAGCAGGUCAUAGUGAUCCGGUGGUUCUGUAUGGAAGGGCCAUCGCUCAACGGAUAAAAGGUACUCCGGGGAUAACAGGCUGAUACCGCCCAAGAGUUCAUAUCGACGGCGGUGUUUGGCACCUCGAUGUCGGCUCAUCACAUCCUGGGGCUGAAGUCGGUCCCAAGGGUAUGGCUGUUCGCCAUUUAAAGUGGUACGCGAGCUGGGUUUAGAACGUCGUGAGACAGUUCGGUCCCUAUCUGCCGUGGGCGUUGGAAGAUUGAAGGGGGCUGCUCCUAGUACGAGAGGACCGGAGUGGACGAACCUCUGGUGUUCGGGUUGUGUCGCCAGACGCAUUGCCCGGUAGCUAAGUUCGGAAUUGAUAAGCGCUGAAAGCAUCUAAGCGCGAAGCGAGCCCUGAGAUGAGUCUUCCCUGAUACUUUAAGUAUCCUAAAGGGUUGUUCGAGACUAGAACGUUGAUAGGCAGGGUGUGUAAGCGUUGUGAGGCGUUGAGCUAACCUGUACUAAUUGCCCGUGAGGCUUAACCAU